CGAUUGGGAUUUUUGUUUGGGGGUCAAAGUUUUGAAGCUAUGGUAAGGGGAGGGGGUCAUUAUGUGGUUCUGGUUCAUAAUGUUUUUUUUUUUUGGGGGGGGGAAUAAAUUUGAACAUACCCCUCAGCUGAUAAACAAUGACCGUUCCCUAAGUUUAGCUUCUACAGACCCCUCUACUAUAGUGAUAAUUUCUCAUUAUUUAAAUCCAACUGAAAUAUGAAAAAGCAUUCCGACCUGGGAGUCCUUCCUUCACCAGUGAUAAAUCUUA
RNAcentral lists this long non-coding RNA (268 nucleotides) under Mytilus galloprovincialis (Mediterranean mussel). Lineage: Eukaryota; Metazoa; Mollusca; Bivalvia; Mytilida; Mytilidae. The record is from RNAcentral.